Molecule: transfer RNA, 72 nt
Filed under: Nanobdellota archaeon
Lineage: Archaea; Nanobdellati; Nanobdellota
Description: tRNA-Arg
Rfam family: tRNA
About the family: Transfer RNA (tRNA) molecules are approximately 80 nucleotides in length.
Source: RNAcentral
GGACCCGUAGUUUAAUGGAUAGAAUCACAGGCUUCGGACCUGUUGAUAAGGGUUCGAUUCCCUUCGGGUCCG